This 70-nucleotide small RNA is filed under the name Clostridium botulinum F str. Langeland. The record is from RNAcentral. Lineage: Bacteria; Bacillati; Bacillota; Clostridia; Eubacteriales; Clostridiaceae.
AAAUUCUGAUAUAAAAAACCUACUAAUGUUUUUUGUAUUUAUAAUGGUUAUUUUAGUUGGAGGUUCUUUA